UCUCUAGUAGCUCAGUCGGUAAAGAAUCUGCCUGCAGUGCAGGAGAACUGGGUUCGAAUCCUUGGUAGGGAA
RNAcentral lists this transfer RNA (72 nucleotides) under Bos taurus (domestic cattle). It matches the Rfam family "tRNA". From Rfam's summary of the family: Transfer RNA (tRNA) molecules are approximately 80 nucleotides in length. The record is from Rfam by way of RNAcentral. Lineage: Eukaryota; Metazoa; Chordata; Mammalia; Artiodactyla; Bovidae. RNAcentral also lists the same sequence under 3 other names.